Molecule: long non-coding RNA, 1153 nt
Filed under: Phasianus colchicus (ring-necked pheasant)
Lineage: Eukaryota; Metazoa; Chordata; Aves; Galliformes; Phasianidae
Description: lncRNA (ENSPCLG00000003053.1)
Source: RNAcentral
AUGGCAUCUAAUGCUCUAAGCAGUUAAUAUCUUGUUUCUGGAAAUAAUCUUUUUUGGAUUGCUGAAAGAACUGUUGAUAAGUAAUACCUUAUCAUAAAAAAAAAAAAGCUGCUGGAGUAACUUCUGCUGAUGUUCUGUGGGUCUUAUGCGGCUUCCUACCUGAGCCUUUACACUCUCUGAGCAGAAAGAUGAAGACUGAAAAGCAGUGUGAACGUGAUUGCACAGAGGAGCGCAUACAGCUUUCACCUGGCAGGAUUUUCCAGGAUGGAAAGAAAUUUUGGCACAAGGGGCAAAUCAAGACUCACCACAUUUCCAUGCCCCUGAAAUCUUGCUCUCUUGGCAAUACAGUAUGGCUCUCACUAGCAGAGGAAGAUGUGAGUACCACCAUUGCCAAUGGAGGCUUCUGUGUCAGCCUUCAGAUUUUUCUGCAAUCCAGCUAAACUACAGCUAAGCAUCUGAAGUGAAGCUGAUUUCAAAUACCAAUCAAAAUAUUACUUGGAAACAAUUUUUAAUGAAAUAGUUAAUGAAGAGGCUUGCUAAAAUUCUAAUCACUGACAAUAACCUGAUAACACGCAUAAAUUUUGCUUUGCAAGUUUUCAGAGAGAAACUUUGAAGAGAGCAAGGUUCUGUAGAAAUUAUCAGUGUAAAUUAGUUCUACCUAAUAGACACUACAAUUAUCGUCUGAUAUAAUUAUAGGCCUAUUUUGCAACUCUGCCAAUUUUUUUUUGAUCUUCAGGAACAACCACAUUGGCUAGCAAUCACUAAUGUAAUACGACAGCUAGCACACAACCAAUCUAUCAAAAAGACAAUAUUUUUAAAAGUGUUUAUGCAAAACAAACUACUGCUCUUCUCCAUCUUUUGUAUGUUUUUGAAAUGAAAACUACUGCCCUAAGUUAUUUUCUUAAAUGACAUCUUUUAUUACCCAUAUUUUAUGCCAAAUUUCUCUUUUUGUGUGUGAUAGCUAUUUAUCAUAGUAAAAGCAAAACAGAAACAUACUUCAAUGUGGGAGUUUUAUGUUUUAUAGCAGGAGGCUUUACUUGGAGAUAGGAUUGAUACAUCAAAGUCUCAUCCUGUGAUAACACAUGCAUUUCAAUAUUUACCUUCAUUUUUGUCCUCUACAGUUAAUACAAUAUUUCCCUAACAUAAGCUGCUA